UACAGAGGGGGCAAGCGUUAUUCGGAAUUAUUGGGCGUAAAGGGCGCGUGGGCGGCUUUUCAAGUGACGGGUGAAAUCCCUCGGCUUAACCGAGGAACUGCCUGUCAGACUGGAAGGCUUGAGACCGGGAGAGGUGAGUGGAAUUCCCAGUGUAGCGGUGAAAUGCGUAGAUAUUGGGAGGAACACCAGUGGCGAAGGCGGCUCACUGGACCGGAACUGACGCUGAGGCGCGAAAUCGUGGGGAUCAAUCAGG
RNAcentral lists this ribosomal RNA (253 nucleotides) under uncultured bacterium. RNAcentral describes it as "partial 16S ribosomal RNA". It matches the Rfam family "Bacterial small subunit ribosomal RNA", at positions 524 to 776 of the family's 1533-position model. The record is from RNAcentral.